UUUUUAGACUUUUCUCUCUCUCAUUCUAUUAUAUAAUGCUUGAUUCAUUGUAUGAUGCUGAAUUAUAGCAAGGUAGGCUGAUUUGCUGGAUAUAUAGACCAUGCUAAGUCAAAAGUGGGUUAACCACUCCAUAUUUGGACAGAUAUGCAAGUUAUCUAUAAAAAAAAUGUGACAUAAGGGUAUUUUUGACAUUUUAAUUUAUUUCUAGAAUUUGCCAUUGGUUGUAAACCCUUAGGGUUUAGGUUUUGAGCAAUCUAGGGUUUAGGGUUUAGAGUAUUUAGAGUUUAGGGUUUAACCCUUUAGGGUUUAGGUUUUAACCCUAAAGACUUUAGCAAUUAAAAUUCUAAGAUUUUCUAAUUAGAUUUUAAAAUAGAAAAUCAUGAUUUCUAAUUUAUAAUGAGGGCUUCCUAAUUAUAUUAUAAUUUCCUAAUUAUUAUAAUUUUUCUAAUUACAUUAGGUCUUAAACUAAUUAGGAUUAAUAUUUUCCCAAU
This 491-nucleotide long non-coding RNA is filed under the name Panax ginseng (ginseng). RNAcentral's name for it is "long non-coding RNA (PGIN_LNC011255)". The record is from RNAcentral. Lineage: Eukaryota; Viridiplantae; Streptophyta; Magnoliopsida; Apiales; Araliaceae.